AUACGGAGGGUGCAAGCGUUAUCCGGAAUCAUUGGGUUUAAAGGGUCCGUAGGCGGGCAAAUAAGUCAGAGGUGAAAUCCCACAGCUCAACUGUGGAACUGCCUUUGAUACUGUUUGUCUUGAGUUAUAGUGAAGUAGAUAGAAUAUGUAGUGUAGCGGUGAAAUGCAUAGAUAUUACAUAGAAUACCGAUUGCGAAGGCAGUCUACUAACUAUUGACUGACGCUAAUGGACGAAAGCGUGGGGAGCGAACAGGAUUAGAAACCCUAGUAGUCC
RNAcentral lists this ribosomal RNA (274 nucleotides) under uncultured bacterium. Its description in RNAcentral is "partial 16S ribosomal RNA". It matches the Rfam family "Bacterial small subunit ribosomal RNA", at positions 523 to 796 of the family's 1533-position model. The record is from RNAcentral.